AGCAGCCGCGGUAAUUCCAGCUCCAAUAGCGUAUAUUAAAGUUGCUGCAGUUAAAAAGCUCGUAGUUGAAUUUCGGGAUCAAUAUGUUGGUCGUGCCUCGGUACGUACUAGCUUAUUGGUUUCUCCCUUCUGACGAACCAUGAUGUCAUUUAUUUGGUGUUAUGGGAAAUCAGGACUGUUACUUUGAAAAAAUUAGAGUGUUUAAAGCAGGCUCACGCUUGAAUACAUUAGCAUGGAAUAAUGAAAUAGGACGUUUGAUUCUAUUUUGUUGGUUUCUAGGAUCGACGUAAUGAUUAAUAGGGAUAGUUGGGGGCAUUAGUAUUCAAUUGUCAGAGGUGAAAUUCUUGGAUUUAUUGAAGACUAACUACUGCGAAAGCAUUUGCCAAGGAUGUUUUCAUUAAUCAAGAACGAAAGUUAGGGGAUCGAAGACGAUCAGAUACCGUCGUAGUCUUAACCAUAAACUAUGCCGACUAGGGAUCGGAUGAUGUUAAUUUUUAAUGACUCAUUCGGCG
Molecule: ribosomal RNA, 512 nt
Filed under: uncultured Glomus
Lineage: Eukaryota; Fungi; Glomeromycota; Glomeromycetes; Glomerales; Glomeraceae
Description: SSU rRNA
Rfam family: Eukaryotic small subunit ribosomal RNA
Source: RNAcentral